RNAcentral lists this ribosomal RNA (484 nucleotides) under uncultured bacterium. Its description in RNAcentral is "partial 16S ribosomal RNA". It matches the Rfam family "Bacterial small subunit ribosomal RNA", at positions 29 to 507 of the family's 1533-position model. The record is from RNAcentral.
AUUGAACGCUGGCGGCAUGCUUUACACAUGCAAGUCGAACGGCAGCGCGGGUUUCGGCCUGGCGGCGAGUGGCGAACGGGUGAGUAAUGCAUCGGAACGUGCCCAGUAGUGGGGGAUAGCCCGGCGAAAGCCGGAUUAAUACCGCAUACGACCUGAGGGUGAAAGCGGGGGACCGAAAGGCCUCGCGCUAUUGGAGCGGCCGAUGUCGGAUUAGCUAGUUGGUGGGGUAAAGGCUUACCAAGGCGACGAUCCGUAGCUGGUCUGAGAGGACGACCAGCCACACUGGGACUGAGACACGGCCCAGACUCCUACGGGAGGCAGCAGUGGGGAAUUUUGGACAAAGGGGGCAACCCUGAUCCAGCCAUGCCGCGUGCGGGAAGAAGGCCUUCGGGUUGUAAACCGCUUUUGUUCGGGAAGAAAUCCUCUGGGCUAAUACCCCGGGGGGAUGACGGUACCGGAAGAAUAAGCACCGGCUAACUACGUG